RNAcentral lists this ribosomal RNA (120 nucleotides) under Prolemur simus (greater bamboo lemur). The record is from RNAcentral. Lineage: Eukaryota; Metazoa; Chordata; Mammalia; Primates; Lemuridae.
GUCUAUGGCCAUACCGCCCUGAACGCGCCCGAUCUCUUCUGAUCUCAGAAGCUAAGUAGGGUGGCGCGUGGUUAGUACUUGGAUGGGAGAAAGCAGAAUAGAGCAACCAGGUUUCUGGCU